Molecule: ribosomal RNA, 252 nt
Filed under: uncultured bacterium
Lineage: Bacteria
Description: partial 16S ribosomal RNA
Rfam family: Bacterial small subunit ribosomal RNA
Source: RNAcentral
CGUAGGGGCAAGCGUUGUCCGGAAUCACUGGGCGUAAAGGGUUCGCAGGCGGAAAUGCAAGUCAGUUGUGAAAGGCAGAGGCUCAACCUCUGUAAGCAAUUGAAACUGUAUUUCUUGAGAUGUGGAGAGGCAAGUGGAAUUCCUAGUGUAGCGGUGAAAUGCGUAGAUAUUAGGAAGAAUACCGGUGGCGAAGGCGACUUGCUGGACACAAACUGACGCUGAGGAACGAAAGCGUGGGUAGCAAACAGGAUU